This 3477-nucleotide long non-coding RNA is filed under the name Homo sapiens (human). Its description in RNAcentral is "HSALNT0049238". The record is from RNAcentral. Lineage: Eukaryota; Metazoa; Chordata; Mammalia; Primates; Hominidae.
GCCCUGUUUUGGUACCUGGACUCACCUCUCAGCAGGAGCCCGCACGCCUGUGUUACACAAGGGGUGUGGUCACCAGCCGCAGCUCCUGCUGGGCCUCCACAGAGGUGCCAGCCCUGCCUGAGCUCUCCUGAUGACCCACGAGGCCGGCCGCCCACACCUGUGUUUGCCGGGGGCACGAUGGCCAGGAGCUCACUAUAAGGGAAGAGUGAGUGGGCACAGCAGGCAUCUGCUUUAGUGGCAGGGGGAAUGGGCUACACCAUAGGACAUCCUUGGACUUACUGAAUCUCCUGGUCUGAGCCCCAGGGAUUCAUAUGGGAGAAACAGAAGUGCCGUGAGGACAUGGGAGAAUGUGGAAGAUGCUGCUGAACGCAGAGACUCUUAACACGAAAUGUAGGAAGAGGCAUUGCCUGCACUUUGUGGAAAACCUCACCGCCCAGUGCUUUGGCAGAGGUGGCCUGGUACCCCAGGAGAGAGCAGGCACAAAGGCAGGGUCUGUGUGAGACCCUGGAGCCCAGCAACCCUGGGUCUGUUCACUGCACCUGUGCUUGGCAGAGAAGGCCAGGCCCAGAGGGCACUGCAGUCAUCGGAGAAACACCAGCAAGGACCAGUGGGCUCGGGCACACCCACAGGGACAGCAGCACGCCCCAGAGGAGGCUGAUGUCAUGAGGUGCCAGCCAGACCUGCUGGAGAGCCCUGGGAGCCGUCCUGGGAAAGGCCCUAAAUGUGACGGGGAUGAGGACUCUCCUGCACUGGCUAAUAGAGGCAGAGAAGAAAAGAAACAUGUUUGCGAAGUGGUGCAUAUGCCACCACAGUCCUGGGGGAACCCGAGUCAACUCCAAGACUGUCGCCCAUCUGUGCAUUCCUUGAUUCAUCAAAUACACGUUGAUCAUCACCAUGUGCCAGGCACUGUUCUGUGCCCUGGGCUUUGGAAGUGAACAGGACAAACGAGGUCCUUUCUGUGUAGAAAUGCAUCCCGAGGAUGGAAGCAGACAACCAGCAAGUGAAUUGAGACGCAUCCCAUUGCUUGCUGAAGUUUGCCCAUCUUGCCAAGGGCCAUCCUUAAUGCAGACAAUGGAAGAAGUCUUGGGAAGAAAGACUAAAGAGGAGAAGGUUUUGCCUGCUCACCGCCUCCACCCGCCACCCCACUCCUCCACCCAGCCUCAUGCCAGCCCCAUCGAGGUACCGUGGGGAGCAGGUGCUCCCUAGCAAUGGGAGUGGAGACCCCAGCUGGAGGCAGAACAGAGAACGGCUGGGGCCAUGAAGUCUCCCUACCUCUCAGGGGAUGGCAGAGGUUUCCAGAGAGCCACGUGGGAGAGCCACCAAGGCAGGGAGCUCUGCCAAGACAGAGGGUGUGUUCAGCUUGAGCCUGGGGCCCUGGAGUUGGGUGAGAGCUUCACAGAGCUGAUGUUUAUUGAUGCCGUUUUCUGUUAACUAAGUUAAACCUCUCUCUGAAGCAGUGCUGGCAGGCAGAGCUGCCUGGGGGGGCAAGGGGGUUGAGAGGGGGCGUCUAUUUUCCCAGGUGCUGGGUGGGGUUCAAGCCAAGGGAAGUGAAAUACAAUCCCCCCAAGUGUGAAACUCCCCUAAAAGUAACCUUGCCCUUCAUGCCAGAGGCCUCCCUCUCUGUCACCAGGGCUGCACUUGGAUUUCAGCACACGUGCUUCCAUUCAGUGCUUUGUCCAUGAAAUUCCACACAGAAAAACAAAACCAAGCCAUAAUGAUUUUGAUUGGAAAUUACUGCUCUCUAACAUAAAGCAUAUUUAAUGUCAUUAAAUUUUGUGGAUUAUAACUCCCUAGUGAAGAACACAGCAGUCAGGCUGCACAGCAGCCCCGUGUUCAGAAAAUGGCAAUUUAGUGAUUUUAGAGCCACAUGAUUUAUCUAGGAGAUCAGAAAUGUAAUCAAAAUGACAUCAACGAAAACCUGAUUUGCUGGUUUUUAAUUACAGUUGGCCCUUUUUAGUUGGGAUCACAUAUUUACGAAUUCACCUUCUCUCUAAAAUCAACACCUGAGGUGCUUUUGAGGUUAUUCUCCCAUGCACCAAAAGCAGCAAGAACUUUGGGUCACCCCCAGCGUGCGCGUUGUUCCCCCCGAGAUCGGGCAGGCAGCACUCUGCCUUCUUUGAUGGCCCUCAAUACUGAAAACGUGUCCUUUUGGCAGUGCCAUUUUUGUUGUUGUUGUUGCAUUUUUGUGCUUUUUUGGUGAUUCCACUGCUUUAAAUGGCCCCUGAGUGUCAUACUGACAAGCUCCCAGGUGUUCCUAAGUGCAAGGCAAGGCGCCCACAGGGAACAUGCAUUGUUAGGCAAGCUGUGCGCAGGCAGGGCUGCAGUGCCCUUGGUGCCAGAGACACCAUUCAUGAAUCGACAACACGGUACAUCAAGGAAGUGGAAGCAGAAAUUUGCCAAUCUGUACAUGAGGUGGCCCUGGAAAGUACUGUAUUAGCAUUGCUAGUGUGGGAUGAAGCUAUGGAAAAGAUAGGAAGGGCUAAAUGUGUGGAUUCAUGAGAUGAGGACUGGUUGAAAAUAAACGGUAGGGACAAAAGCACUGUUGUGAGGCUGAAAGCCCAAUAAAUUUAUGAUCAUAUUACUCAGGGUCAGGAAAAUGCUAAACCCUUCUCAACUCAUGUUUUAUUAUCUAUUAUUAAUUAUUUUUAAGAAAUAUAUAUUCAGUAAGGUGUCUUUAAACAGAAACACACAUAAAACAGGGUGACUUAUCGAUCAGUGGAUACAAGUGUUGUGGCCAUGGGCUCACGGGGACUAACCCUGUGUUUUCCCUGAAAGCGAUGGCCAGUAUUUGCUAAUUCCAUGUUUGUGGUGACUUUAGAGAACAUAACUACCGUGAGUAAUAAGAAUCGGCCAAACAGUUGGCCCUCGGUGCCCACAGGUUCCACACUCAUGAAUUCAACCAACCAAGGAUGGAAAAUAUUAAAAAAAAAUUAAAGUAAUAUAAUAAAACUAAACACAAAUUAAAACCAAUACAGCAUAACAACUGUUUGCAUGAUAUUUACAUUGCAUUAGGUACUACAAGUACUCUAGAGAUCAUUUAAAGUCUAUGGAAGGUUGUGCAUAGGUCAUAUGCAAAUAUCAUACCAUUUUAUAUCAGAGACUUGAGCAUCCUCAAAUUUUGAUAUCCGCAAGGGAUUCUGGAACCAAUCCUUGCUGAUACCAAGGGAUGACUGUAAUUUUUUUUUAUUACAAAAGUGAUACAUGAGGAAAACUUAAAGGAUGAAAGUCACAAAGGAAAAAGUCAUCUGCUGUCUCAUCUCCUAGAGAUAAGGACAAUGAAAAUUUUGGUUUAUGCUCUUUUUGCCUUUCUCUGAGCUUCCAGUGUUUGUGUAUAUACUUUGCACCAUUGGAACUUUCUAUUUUCUUCUUUUGAUGCUACCUUAAAAGCAAUGCCUUGUUCAAUAAACAUUCUCCUACCACCUGAUAGCUUUUUUAGUCAUAUAAUAUUCCAUCCUAUGUAUUUAUGCUGAUGCUUGU